AGAGUUUGAUCCUGGCUCAGGAUGAACGCUAGCGGCAGGCCUAACACAUGCAAGUCGAACGGUAACAGGAAUUAGCUUGCUAAUUUGCUGACGACCGGCGCACGGGUGAGUAACGCGUAUACAAUUUACCUUUUACAGGGAGAUAGCCCAGAGAAAUUUGGAUUAAUAUCCUAUGGUAUUAUUAAUUGGCAUCAAUAAAUAAUUAAAGCUUCGGCGGUAAAAGAUGAGUAUGCGUCCUAUUAGCUAGUAGGUGUGGUAACGGCACACCAUGGCAACGAUAGAUAGGGGCCCUGAGAGGGGGAUCCCCCACACUGGUACUGAGACACGGACCAGACUCCUACGGGAGGCAGCAGUGAGGAAUAUUGGACAAUGGGCGCAAGCCUGAUCCAGCCAUGCCGCGUGCAGGAAGACGGCCCUAUGGGUUGUAAACUGCUUUUAUACAGGAAGAAACAGCUCUACGUGUAGAGCCUUGACGGUACUGUAAGAAUAAGGAUCGGCUAACUCCGUGCCAGCAGCCGCGGUAAUACGGAGGAUCCAAGCGUUAUCCGGAAUCAUUGGGUUUAAAGGGUCCGUAGGUGGAUAAUUAAGUCAGAGGUGAAAUCCUGCAGCUCAACUGUAGAAUUGCCUUUGAUACUGGUUAUCUUGAGUUAUUAUGAAGUAGUUAGAAUAUGUAGUGUAGCGGUGAAAUGCAUAGAUAUUACAUAGAAUACCAAUUGCGAAGGCAGAUUACUAAUAAUAUGCUGACACUGAUGGACGAAAGCGUGGGUAGCGAACAGGAUUAGAUCCCCUGGUAGUCCACGCCGUAAACGAUUGUCACUAGCUGUUCGGAACUUGUUUCUGAGUGGCUAAGCGAAAGUGAUAAGUGACCCACCUGGGGAGUACGUUCGCAAGAAUGAAACUCAAAGGAAUUGACGGGGGCCCGCACAAGCGGUGGAGCAUGUGGUUUAAUUCGAUGAUACGCGAGGAACCUUACCAGGGCUUAAAUGUAAGUUGCAUAAGCUAGAGAUAGCUUUUUCUUCGGACUACUUACAAGGUGCUGCAUGGUUGUCGUCAGCUCGUGCCGUGAGGUGUCAGGUUAAGUCCUAUAACGAGCGCAACCCCUGUUGUUAGUUGCCAUCGAGUAAUGUCGGGAACUCUAACAAGACUGCCGGUGCAAACCGUGAGGAAGGUGGGGAUGACGUCAAAUCAUCACGGCCCUUACGUCCUGGGCUACACACGUGCUACAAUGGCCGGUACAAUGAGCAGCCACCCCGCGAGUAGGAGCGAAUCUAUAAAACCGGUCUCAGUUCGGAUCGGAGUCUGCAACUCGACUCCGUGAAGCUGGAAUCGCUAGUAAUCGGAUAUCAGCCAUGAUCCGGUGAAUACGUUCCCGGGCCUUUUACACACCGCCCGUCAAGCCAUGGAAGCUGGGGGUACCUGAAGUCGGUGACCGUAAGGAGCUGCCUAGGGUAAAACUAGUAACUGGGGCUAAGUCGAAACAAGGUAACC
RNAcentral lists this ribosomal RNA (1488 nucleotides) under uncultured prokaryote. RNAcentral's name for it is "partial 16S ribosomal RNA". It matches the Rfam family "Bacterial small subunit ribosomal RNA". The record is from RNAcentral.